UUCAUCCAAGUUUUCAUUAGCUUCCUAUGACAAACUCAACAGGUGUAAUAAUCAGAAGCAGAGCAUCAAUUAAGGAUUAAGGAUGAAAUGCAUUAAUUAAUUAAUUUGAGAAAUAUUUGAGACAUAAAAAUAAUCUAGGUCAUGAACAAUUCCCAUUUUGAAGUGGAUCCAACUAUGAAACUAACUCAGAAUCAAACUAAAAUUAAUCAAGCUGAACUCAUCUGAACAUUAAAGAACGAAGAUGCUUACCUCAGGUCAUUGUUCUCACUUCUCAUUACUUGAUAGAGUUAUUGUGGUGGUCAAUGGGAUCGAAGAGGAACACGGUGGUUUUCGAGGACUACUUCCCGGCAAUGGUGUAGAAACUGGGGACUGAAGGGUUCAUGAAGGAGCUGACAAAUGGGUUCCAGUUGUUGAUGGACAGAGAGAAGAAAGUGAUCACAUUUGAGAGCCUCAAGAGGAACUCUGCAUUGCUUGGGUUGGAAGGGAUGAGUGAUGAUGAGAUAAUGAGCAUGCUGAGAGAAGGUGAUCUUGAUGGAGAUGGUGCUCUUGAUGAGAUGGAGUUCUGCACGCUCAUGUUCAGGUUGAGCCCUGCUUUGAUGAAUAACUCUAAGCAACUUUUGGAGGAAGCCAUUUUUAGUGCCCAUUAGAAAAAAACUCUUUUGAUUUUGCUCUUUCAGUUUCAGCUCCCUCUGUUGUGUUAUAAGCUUCUUAUUUCCCUAUAUUUUUCUGGGGCUGUUUCUGUACUUUGUAAUUGCAGAGUUGUAACUGAGUUUCUUCACCAAUCAGACUUCAAUUUCCUGUGUCUUGCUGACAAAGCAAUCAAACAAGGUAGGUAAACACAUUAUUAACAUUUAAGAAUUUGAAACAUGGAAGCAACAACUUGGUCAAUGAGGCUUAUG
This 899-nucleotide long non-coding RNA is filed under the name Arachis ipaensis. Its description in RNAcentral is "long non-coding RNA (AIPA_LNC000071)". The record is from RNAcentral. Lineage: Eukaryota; Viridiplantae; Streptophyta; Magnoliopsida; Fabales; Fabaceae.